CCUCGCGAGAGCAAGCGGACCUCAUAAAGUGCGUCGUAGUCCGGAUUGGAGUCUGCAACUCGACUCCAUGAAGUCGGAAUCGCUAGUAAUCGUGGAUCAGAAUGCCACGGUGAAUACGUUCCCGGGCCUUGUACACACCGCCCGUCACACCAUGGGAGUGGGUUGCAAAAGAAGUAGGUAGCUUAACCUUCGGGAGGGCGCUUACCACUUUGUGAUUCAUGACUGGGGUGAAGUCGUAACAAGGUAACCGUAGGGGAACCUGCGGUUGGAUCACCUCCUUACCUUAAAGAA
This 291-nucleotide ribosomal RNA is filed under the name Escherichia coli. Its description in RNAcentral is "partial 16S ribosomal RNA". It matches the Rfam family "Bacterial small subunit ribosomal RNA", at positions 1253 to 1533 of the family's 1533-position model. Lineage: Bacteria; Pseudomonadati; Pseudomonadota; Gammaproteobacteria; Enterobacterales; Enterobacteriaceae. The record is from RNAcentral.